This is a microRNA precursor of Laticauda laticaudata (blue-ringed sea krait), 96 nucleotides long. The record is from Ensembl. NCBI's taxonomy places the organism in Eukaryota, Metazoa, Chordata, Lepidosauria, Squamata, Elapidae.
GGGUUCCUAGGAAGAGGUAGUAGGUUGCAUAGUUUUAGGGCAGUGGUUUUGCCUAUACGGAGUUAACUAUACAACCUGCUGCCUUUCUUAGGGCUU